Molecule: long non-coding RNA, 745 nt
Filed under: Gossypium barbadense (sea-island cotton)
Lineage: Eukaryota; Viridiplantae; Streptophyta; Magnoliopsida; Malvales; Malvaceae
Description: long non-coding RNA (GBAR_LNC015832)
Source: RNAcentral
CUCCUCUACCAUUUCAAGUGUUUGCGCCGCAGCCUCCCUUUCUCUGCCGUUCUCCCAACUUCGACCAGAUGACGACGAAUGAGGGCGCCCAACGACGGUAAUCCUCCUUUCCCUCUUCUCUUAAUUUAUUUUUGUUUUAGGAAAACCAAAGAAAAAAAACAAAAUAAAGUAAAAACAGUAAAAGACACAAAAGGGGAAAAAAACAAAAUUCGUUACCUUCCAAAAUCAUUUUUUUUCUUGUAUUUUCUUGUUAAUUUCCUUUAAUUUUCAAUACCAAAAUUUGCUAACCCCCUUUACAGAUUUGAUUCCCCCUUUAUACAAUCGAAAAUCCCUGUUUUUCGUUUUCUCCCCACCUCCUCUGUUCGUGGCUUAUUUGUUGCAGGUGGAUAUUAGAGGAGGCGUGCGUGACGUGCGUACGGGGUUGAACAUGGGUGAAAACAGUUGCUGCGACGUGGGCAGAUGGGGUCGUUGCUGCAGAUGGAGAACGUGCGGCUCGCCCUAGGGCUUCUACUUCCAUUGCUGCUGAAAACAUGUUGUGGGCUAGGAUUACUUUUGGGCCAAUUGGGCCAAAUGUAUUUGGGUCGUUGCUUAUUUUGGUAGGCUAAAUGUUGGGACUGAUGUAGUGUGGGCUUUAGGUUUAGUUGGGCCGGGGCAAAAUUUAGGUCUUACAGUAUUUUCUGAAAGUAAUAAAAUCUAAAAAUAAGAAAAAUACGAACAAAUGGUCAAAAUAAGGGUUUUUUACUAA